UACGUAGGGGGCAAGCGUUGUCCGGAUUUAUUGGGCGUAAAGAGCGUGUAGGCGGCCUGAAAGGUCAGCUGUGAAAACUCGAGGCUCAACCUCGAGACGCCGGUGGAAACUGCAAAGCUAGAGUCCGGAAGAGGAGAGUGGAAUUCCUGGUGUAGCGGUGAAAUGCGCAGAUAUCAGGAGGAACACCCGUGGCGAAAGCGGCUCUCUGGGACGGUACUGACGCUGAGACGCGAAAGCGUGGGGAGCAAACAGG
RNAcentral lists this ribosomal RNA (253 nucleotides) under uncultured bacterium. Its description in RNAcentral is "partial 16S ribosomal RNA". It matches the Rfam family "Bacterial small subunit ribosomal RNA", at positions 524 to 776 of the family's 1533-position model. The record is from RNAcentral.